This 67-nucleotide non-coding RNA is filed under the name Rhizopus arrhizus. The record is from RNAcentral. Lineage: Eukaryota; Fungi; Mucoromycota; Mucoromycetes; Mucorales; Rhizopodaceae.
CAAUAUCUUAAUUAAUACCUUCUCGUGGUGAUAUUGUAAGUACCAUUAAAUGGGAAACUAAAUUAAU